UACGUAGGGUGCGAGCGCUGUCCGGAAUUAUUGGGCGUAAAGGGCUCGUAGGCGGUUUGUCGCGUCGGGAGUGAAAACCUCGGGCUUAACUCGGGGCUUGCUUUCGAUACGGGCAGACUAGAGUGCGGUAGGGGAGACUGGAAUUCCUGGUGUAGCGGUGGAAUGCGCAGAUAUCAGGAGGAACACCAAUGGCGAAGGCAGCUCGCUGGGACGGUACUGACGCUGAGGCGCGAAAGCGUGGGGAGCAAACAGG
RNAcentral lists this ribosomal RNA (253 nucleotides) under uncultured bacterium. Its description in RNAcentral is "partial 16S ribosomal RNA". It matches the Rfam family "Bacterial small subunit ribosomal RNA", at positions 524 to 776 of the family's 1533-position model. The record is from RNAcentral.